RNAcentral lists this ribosomal RNA (253 nucleotides) under uncultured bacterium. RNAcentral's name for it is "partial 16S ribosomal RNA". It matches the Rfam family "Bacterial small subunit ribosomal RNA", at positions 524 to 776 of the family's 1533-position model. The record is from RNAcentral.
UACGUAGGGAGCAAGCGUUAUCCGGAUUUACUGGGUGUAAAGGGGGCGCAGACGGCGAUGCAAGCCAGGAGUGAAAGCCCGGGGCCCAACCCCGGGACUGCUCUUGGAACUGCGUGGCUGGAGUGCAGGAGGGGCAGGCGGAAUUCCUGGUGUAGCGGUGAAAUGCGUAGAUAUCAGGAGGAACACCGGUGGCGAAGGCGGCCUGCUGGACUGCAACUGACGUUGAGGCCCGAAAGCGUGGGGAGCAAACAGG